This 485-nucleotide ribosomal RNA is filed under the name Enterococcus casseliflavus. Its description in RNAcentral is "bacterial SSU rRNA". It matches the Rfam family "Bacterial small subunit ribosomal RNA", at positions 28 to 490 of the family's 1533-position model. Lineage: Bacteria; Bacillati; Bacillota; Bacilli; Lactobacillales; Enterococcaceae. The record is from RNAcentral.
GACGAACGCUGGCAGCGUGCCUAAUACAUGCAAGUCGAACGCUUUUUCUUUCACCGGAGCUUGCUCCAUCGAAAGAAAAAGAGUGGCGAACGGGUGAGUAACACGUGGGUAACCUGCCCAUCAGAAGGGGAUAACACUUGGAAACAGGUGCUAAUACCGUAUAACACUAUUUUCCGCAUGGAAGAAAGUUGAAAGGCGCUUUUGCGUCACUGAUGGAUGGACCCGCGGUGCAUUAGCUAGUUGGUGAGGUAACGGCUCACCAAGGCAACGAUGCAUAGCCGACCUGAGAGGGUGAUCGGCCACACUGGGACUGAGACACGGCCCAGACUCCUACGGGAGGCAGCAGUAGGGAAUCUUCGGCAAUGGACGAAAGUCUGACCGAGCAACGCCGCGUGAGUGAAGAAGGUUUUCGGAUCGUAAAACUCUGUUGUUAGAGAAGAACAAGGAUGAGAGUAAAAUGUCAUCCCUGACGUAUCUACCAGAAG